GUAAAAUAAAAAUUUCCAAUGGAACAUAGGCUUGGAGCAGUUUAUCUGCCUUUGUUCUGGAUAUAAUUUUUUUCCUUCUGCAUCAGGUAAGUGUAUCAGCAGUUUAGAUUACUGGCUAAUUUCUGCAGCCCCUAAUAUUUCAAUUGUGGCUUUUUUCUUCUUCUUCUUCUUCUUCUUCUUCUUUCAUUCCUGGAGUAUAAAUGAAAAUGAG
Non-coding RNA from Pelobates cultripes (western spadefoot toad), 211 nucleotides. The record is from the annotation of a GenBank genome assembly. NCBI's taxonomy places the organism in Eukaryota, Metazoa, Chordata, Amphibia, Anura, Pelobatidae.